RNAcentral lists this ribosomal RNA (726 nucleotides) under Salmonella enterica. RNAcentral's name for it is "partial 23S ribosomal RNA". It matches the Rfam family "Bacterial large subunit ribosomal RNA", at positions 2210 to 2925 of the family's 2925-position model. The record is from RNAcentral. Lineage: Bacteria; Pseudomonadati; Pseudomonadota; Gammaproteobacteria; Enterobacterales; Enterobacteriaceae.
AUGUUUGAUGUUCUAACGUGGACCCGUAAUCCGGGUUGCGGACAGUGUCUGGUGGGUAGUUUGACUGGGGCGGUCUCCUCCUAAAGAGUAACGGAGGAGCACGAAGGUUGGCUAAUCCUGGUCGGACAUCAGGAGGUUAGUGCAAUGGCAUAAGCCAGCUUGACUGCGAGCGUGACGGCGCGAGCAGGUGCGAAAGCAGGUCAUAGUGAUCCGGUGGUUCUGAAUGGAAGGGCCAUCGCUCAACGGAUAAAAGGUACUCCGGGGAUAACAGGCUGAUACCGCCCAAGAGUUCAUAUCGACGGCGGUGUUUGGCACCUCGAUGUCGGCUCAUCACAUCCUGGGGCUGAAGUAGGUCCCAAGGGUAUGGCUGUUCGCCAUUUAAAGUGGUACGCGAGCUGGGUUUAGAACGUCGUGAGACAGUUCGGUCCCUAUCUGCCGUGGGCGCUGGAGAACUGAGGGGGGCUGCUCCUAGUACGAGAGGACCGGAGUGGACGCAUCACUGGUGUUCGGGUUGUCAUGCCAAUGGCACUGCCCGGUAGCUAAAUGCGGAAGAGAUAAGUGCUGAAAGCAUCUAAGCACGAAACUUGCCCCGAGAUGAGUUCUCCCUGAGACUUAGAGUCUCCUGAAGGAACGUUGAAGACGACGACGUUGAUAGGCCGGGUGUGUAAGCGCAGCGAUGCGUUGAGCUAACCGGUACUAAUGAACCGUGAGGCUUAACCUUACAAC